This is a long non-coding RNA of Fukomys damarensis (Damara mole-rat), 546 nucleotides long. RefSeq lists it as uncharacterized. The transcript is spliced from 3 exons. NCBI's taxonomy places the organism in Eukaryota, Metazoa, Chordata, Mammalia, Rodentia, Bathyergidae. The record is from RefSeq and is a predicted model, not a curated record.
AACCGUGUUCUGUUCCGAGUGAUGUUUUCUCUGUGAUUCUAUAACCAUUCCUUUUCAGAGGGCUGUAUGCAGUCUGUGGAGAGCAGGAGUGCCCUGCCUGACUAUUGUUCGUCCAGACUCUCCCUGAUGGACCCUAGCCUGACAGUGACCUUAGAUCAUGCUAGCCGGCACCUCAACGUCGCACUGCAAGGAGAGCGACACCAGGUGGUUCUCACAGUGCAUCCAAGAGGCACUGAAUGUUACACUGGAUUACAGCCGUGCCUAUCUUCUGGCUCUUGUUGAAUGAUGCAAGUGAGAGGACUUUCUGAGGACACUGAGGAAUUUUGACUCUCAUUCCUGGUGGCCUGGGGUACAGAGCCUCAAUGAUCUUCCUGAACAGAUCCCAGAAGUCAGAAAGCACAAAAUAGGACUGCGCUGCUAGUUGGAGGCUUGUGUGAUGUGAAGGCAUAAGCGAGAUGCAGCCGAGGCCAUUGGGCUUUAUUGAAACUUCAAUUUUGGAGGAGGUCUGUCUGCAAGUUCUGUAACCAACCUCACCAGGACACUAUU